RNAcentral lists this ribosomal RNA (443 nucleotides) under uncultured bacterium. RNAcentral describes it as "partial 16S ribosomal RNA". It matches the Rfam family "Bacterial small subunit ribosomal RNA", at positions 338 to 795 of the family's 1533-position model. The record is from RNAcentral.
CCUACGGGAGGCAGCAGUGGGGGAUAUUGGACAAUGGGGGAAACCCUGAUCCAGCGACGCCGCGUGAGUGAAGAAGUAUUUCGGUAUGUAAAGCUCUAUCAGCAGGGAAGAAAGACAUGACGGUACCUGAGUAAUAAGCCCCGGCUAACUACGUGCCAGCAGCCGCGGUAAUACGUAGGGGGCAAGCGUUAUCCGGAUUUACUGGGUGUAAAGGGAGCGUAGACGGCGAUGCAAGUCUGAAGUGAAAGGCGGGGGCCCAACCCCCGGACUGCUUUGGAAACUGUAUGGCUGGAGUGCAGGAGAGGUAAGUGGAAUUCCUAGUGUAGCGGUGAAAUGCGUAGAUAUUAGGAGGAACACCAGUGGCGAAGGCGGCUUACUGGACUGUAACUGACGUUGAGGCUCGAAAGCGUGGGGAGCAAACAGGAUUAGAUACCCGAGUAGUC